This 21-nucleotide microRNA is filed under the name Physcomitrium patens. RNAcentral's name for it is "ppt-miR1031a". Lineage: Eukaryota; Viridiplantae; Streptophyta; Bryopsida; Funariales; Funariaceae. The record is from miRBase by way of RNAcentral.
UCAAUGCUCUCUGGAGCUUCU